UGCGGAUGUGGCGGAAUUGGCAGACGCGCUAGACUUAGGAUCUAGUGGGAUACCGUGCAGGUUCAAGUCCUGUCAUCCGCAG
Molecule: transfer RNA, 82 nt
Filed under: Anaerocolumna cellulosilytica
Lineage: Bacteria; Bacillati; Bacillota; Clostridia; Lachnospirales; Lachnospiraceae
Description: tRNA-Leu
Rfam family: tRNA
About the family: Transfer RNA (tRNA) molecules are approximately 80 nucleotides in length. Their secondary structure includes four short double-helical elements and three loops (D, anti-codon, and T loops). Further hydrogen bonds mediate the characteristic L-shaped molecular structure. tRNAs have two regions of fundamental functional importance: the anti-codon, which is responsible for specific mRNA codon recognition, and the 3' end, to which the tRNAs corresponding amino acid is attached (by aminoacyl-tRNA synthetases). tRNAs cope with the degeneracy of the genetic code in two manners: having more than one tRNA (with a specific anti-codon) for a particular amino acid; and 'wobble' base-pairing, i.e. permitting non-standard base-pairing at the 3rd anti-codon position.
Source: RNAcentral